CCACAAUCUGCAGAAUAGCAUAAUGUCAUCAUCAGGUGCUCAGCAUUGACUCUGACCUGUAGUACCCCCGGUCCUGCAGCUGACAGCUCAGCUGAACCCCCCCUCCCCCUCAUCACUUUAUUACCAUUUCAGCUUUUUGGCCUCAUUUGAUUGGCCCUGGCUUCAGCCUCCUCUGAUUGGUCCUGGCUUCUCUGACUUAGCAGCCCAGCCCAGCAAAUCAAUAGACUGCACUCAAGAGCAUAAAGAUGAAUUGUCAAAGCCCAGGCCCCUGCAAGGGGAGAAAAAAAAAAUAACAUAGAGACUGCAUCUGGAAGGACAACUAAGAAAGCCUUUUCUGUUCUGACAGAAGCCUUCUGGACUCGCUAUAUGUUCUGCAUGAUUGCAGCCAGAAAUUCAGUUGGCUGGCUCCAUGGAAGGUGCUCUUCCUGCUUCCUGGUCUCAGGCAGCUGCUGUGUGGUAGCUCUCUGCAUUCUCCUCCCUGUGUCUAAUGGCUGUUUUAAAGACCUAUCCAUCUGGAGGCUCCUUCAAGUCCUGCCAGAUGGAAUGUAGCCUUCCAUAAAUUCAAGGACUCCAUGUAAUCAUCUUUGGAACAAAACAUGCUUGGAAUUAGUUUUUGGAAUUGCCUUCACAGCCAACUUGCGCUCUACAUGAGACAAUCUCACUGCUUUAUAGUCAUCGCUUGUUUUUGUGCCCUAGACUGACCAUCUACCUUAGGUACUAGAUUUUGCUUUGAGUGAUAUUUUCUAUUUCCAGAAACCAAAUAUGCUUUCAUGGGAUGAUUUUGUACCACUGAAUAUGUAUUGAAAAUGGUUUGCCAUGGGUUUUGAAGGAAGUUUCAAAGAAAGAGUUCUGUAAAUGUUUUGAGUAUUGGAAUCAUAUGAUUGUGGACUUAGAAGCUGGACUGAGAAGGUCAUUUAGACCAACACCCUUCUUCAACAGUGAGGAGACAGGCCCAGAGAAA
Molecule: long non-coding RNA, 961 nt
Filed under: Phascolarctos cinereus (koala)
Lineage: Eukaryota; Metazoa; Chordata; Mammalia; Diprotodontia; Phascolarctidae
Description: lncRNA (ENSPCIG00000019426.2)
Source: RNAcentral